Long non-coding RNA from Eriocheir sinensis (Chinese mitten crab), 1267 nucleotides. RefSeq lists it as uncharacterized. The record is from RefSeq and is a predicted model, not a curated record. The transcript is spliced from 5 exons. NCBI's taxonomy places the organism in Eukaryota, Metazoa, Arthropoda, Malacostraca, Decapoda, Varunidae.
CAGGUGGCUUGAGAAGUAUGAUGCCCAACCUGGUUUGAAUGGGCUUAUGAUGAACUCCCUGGCAGCAAAGGCUAAAGAAAAUCCCGCAGACUACACGCUGUGCAGCAUGAUGUUGGAUGGCAUGAGCAUCAAGCAAAAGAUGGAAUAUGAUGCUAAGACAAACAAGACUGUUGGAUUUGUUGAUUUGGGAGCUGGUUCAGUGGAAGAUGUGGAGGCUAAAGAAGCACUAGUAGUCAUGCUCGUUGGCUUGAAAGCUAAUUGGAAGUGUGCAAUUGCAUACUACUUCACCAAAGGACUGUCCUCUGAACAACAAACAGAACUUGUAAAGCACUGUCUGGAUGCAUGCCAUGAAGCUAAUCUCAGAGUGUGCUCACUCACCAUGGAUGGCCACAGUACAAACCAAGGAUAGUAUAAGAGUAUUAUACUAUCCUUGGUACAAACAAGGGUAUGGCUAAGCUGCUGGGUUGCAGACUGAAGCUUGCGUCAUCAUUUUGUCCUUCAUUUGACUACAAUGGUCAUAAGAUACACCUGUAUUUUGAUGCUUGCCAUAUGGUCAAACUAGUACGAAACACUCUAGAAGCGUACAGUGUCAUUGUGGGGCCAUCAGGACGGAUUGUGUGGCAGUUCAUCAAAGAUUUACACACAACACAGGAAGACAUUGGUUUGCGUCUUGGGAACAAGCUGACUCCAGACCAUAUUGACUUCAAGAACAAGAAGAUGAAAGUCAAGCUGGCAGUCCAAGUGCUCUCAUCGUCUGUGGCAUCAGCAUUGGAAUUUCUCCAAUCAACUGGAAUGUAUUCCUUCUCGAAUGCUGGCCCAACAGUGGAAUUCAUACGGAGGAUUGACCGCCUGUUUGAUGUUCUUAAUAGUCGCUCACCAUACGGCAAGGGAACAAAACAGCCAAUCAGGACGGAGAACUGGGCUGAAAUCAAGACGUUCCUGCUUGAAACAAAGGACUACUUGACAGCCUUGAAGACUGUGGAAGGGAUACCUUUGCAUACUUCAGUCAGAGGAACCUGUAUCGUAGGACUAUGCAUGGACAUCGUAAGCACCAUAGCUAUAGUAGAAGAGCUCAUGCUUCCCAAGGUGCAUGGUUUCAACUACUUCUUGACCUAUCGAACAAGUCAAGAUCACCUUGAACUUUUCUUCUGCGCUGUCAGGCAAUGUGGUGGAUCUUCAAACAACCCCACAGCAGGACAGUUCACAAGCAUCUUCAGGCGACUUCUGGCCCGUACCGGCCGUUUGCUUGGAUCCGCGGAAGCAAAUU